This 289-nucleotide ribosomal RNA is filed under the name uncultured Eubacteriales bacterium. RNAcentral's name for it is "uncultured Clostridiales bacterium partial 16S ribosomal RNA". The stretch from base 45 to 289 matches the Rfam family "Bacterial small subunit ribosomal RNA", at positions 100 to 340 of the family's 1533-position model. The record is from RNAcentral. Lineage: Bacteria; Bacillati; Bacillota; Clostridia; Eubacteriales.
UUUAUUUGAUUUCCUUCGGGACUGAUUAUUUGUGACUGAGUGGCGGACGGGUGAGUAACGCGUGGGUAACCUGCCUUGUACAGGGGGAUAACAGUUGGAAACGGCUGCUAAUACCGCAUAAGCCCACGACCCGGCAUCGGGUAGAGGGAAAAAGGAGCAAAUCCGCUUUGAGAUGGCCUCGCGUCCGAUUAGCUAGUUGGUGAGGUAAUGGCCCACCAAGGCGACGAUCAGUAGCCGACCUGAGAGGGUGAUCCGGCCACAUUGGAACUGAGACACGGUCCAAACUUCC